Molecule: ribosomal RNA, 228 nt
Filed under: uncultured bacterium
Lineage: Bacteria
Description: partial 16S ribosomal RNA
Rfam family: Bacterial small subunit ribosomal RNA
Source: RNAcentral
GAAUCCUGGCUCAGGAUGAACGCUAGCUACAGGCUUAACACAUGCAAGUCGAGGGGCAGCAUGGUCUUAGCUUGCUAAGGCUGAUGGCGACCGGCGCACGGGUGAGUAACACGUAUCCAACCUGCCGUCUACUCUUGGCCAGCCUUCUGAAAGGAAGAUUAAUCCAGGAUGGGAUCAUGAGUUCACAUGUUCGCAUGAUUAAAGGUAUUUUCCGGUAGACGAUGGGGA